Molecule: long non-coding RNA, 1421 nt
Filed under: Oryza sativa Indica Group (long-grained rice)
Lineage: Eukaryota; Viridiplantae; Streptophyta; Magnoliopsida; Poales; Poaceae
Description: lncRNA OsZS97_12G016630
Source: RNAcentral
GGAUCCGAGUCCCCGUCCGUCCACACCGUCGCGCUCCAACUACCCAGUACGCGGCUACGCGCUGCAUCCGCGUCUCUCCGCCCUUACGGCUUCCGCGCGCCCGCUUGGUUUUCGCCGCAUUCUCGCCGCCCUCCCUCUCGCCCGCUCGCCCUCGCCAUCCUCGACCAGCUGAUCCUCCCCGCCGUCCCACCGUCCUCCCCCACCGUCCCGCGCCGCCACCGCCAUCGAUCCUCCCCGCCGCCCACGCCAUCCUCCACCAGAUCGCUCCCCCACUGCCGCCGCCAUCAAUCGUCCCCGCCGUCCUCGUCGCCGCCAUCGCCGUCUUCCCCCACCAGCUUCGACGCCAUCGAUCCUCCCCGCCGCCCUCUCUUUCAUCCUCCACCAGCUCCCUCCCCCACCGUCACCGUGAUUCCCCUAACCGACCAGCGCCGCCGCCUCCAUCGAUCCUCCCCGCCGCCCUCGCCUUUCUCCUCCACCAGGUCCCUCCCGCACCGCCGCCACCGCCACCAUCGAUACUCGCCGCCGUCCUCGCCGUCCCUGGACGCCGGAGCCCUCCCUUCCCUCUCCACCGCGCCGCUAUCGAUCCACGGCCGAACAGGCCCUUUUGCUGAUAUUACUAAUGCAAGUGCCGGGGAUUCACCAAAAAAUCGUAACAGUAUUGGGGUCUCCACACCAACAUUGUUAACAACAUCAACCCCUUUUGCCGAUAUUACUAAUGCAAGUGCAGGGGAUUCACGAAUAGACCAUGGCAGUGACAGAUGCACAUCCUCCAAUGUGCCGCAAAAGGAAAAUAUGCAAAGUAUAAAUGCGAAAUGUAAAAGAUGCAAGUUAUGAUUUUCCAUUUUGUACCUAUUAGAGUUAACAUAAUUUGCAAGUGUGCACAAAAUGCAAGAAGAUGGUGCUAAUCUCAGCGCAUUAGAAUUAAGAAGGAAGCGUGCUAGAGAGAGGUACGCAUCAAUGAGCCCAAAGAAAAAGGAGGCAAGGAAAAUGAAGGCCUGUGUGUACAAGCAACAAAAGGAGGAAUAUCCAGAAAAUGAGCAUGUACAAUCGUUUGUCAUACCUCACUGCCUCCCAUUUAAUGAGACAGGUACAUUGAUGCAAAUUUAUUGACAACUAAGAAUACUCUGCUUGGAGGAUGAUCCCCUGGUCAACGACGUAGUAAUAUGCCCGUGCAUCUUGUUAUUUAGAUACAGAUCUUAGCUAGGAUUUGGGAUGAAAGCAAAAAAGGAUGUAUUAACAUGUAUAAGGGUCAGAGGACCAAUUAGAACAAUCAGAUUUAUAUUCCGGGGAUUCAUGUAUUCUGGACAGCCGGGGAUUCAUGUAUUCUGGACAAAAAAAAAUGUUUAAAUCUGCAAAUAUUAUUUCCAUAUUUUGAAAUUAGAUAGGAUGUAGAACUUCCUGCUACUACUGGUGUUUCAAUA